Molecule: long non-coding RNA, 1272 nt
Organism: Felis catus (domestic cat)
Lineage: Eukaryota; Metazoa; Chordata; Mammalia; Carnivora; Felidae
Exons: 6
Source: RefSeq, a predicted model, not a curated record
CACUGCCCCUUGCUCCUUUGUGCUUGCUGAGACAAUUGAGAUAUUGUUAUUGGAUGUAGUUGCACGCUCCAAACCCUGGCACUUCUCUCUUCUCCGGCAUCUCUGAAGAAAUUUUAACAGAGCUUUAAACCUUGAUCUCACUUCCUAAACCUAUUUGUAUUUCCCAGUGAUGGAAAAUAGUCAAAACAAACAACUAUCCAAGCACCGCCUCCAAAAACCAUGAUAACAAAAAACGAAAACAAACUGAAACCCUUUGACCGAAAAGGCAAAAGGCAAAGCAGAACAAAACAAAACCGAGAUGCUUAUCUACAUGGUGCAGUCUACCUAAAUUCAAAAUCUGUUCCUUUUGUGGCUCAUACGGAUUCUUUGUUGAAGUACUUUCAGUGCAAAGCUGAACCAAACGAAAGUGGAGUAAAUGUUCACGACCAUUAUUUCCCAUGAAAUUAAUGCUGGCUUCAAAGUUUUUACCACCUCACCUUUCUGGAGAACUUGAGUUCUAAUAGUGUCACAUCGCAGGACCUCUCGUGCCGUUUCUGGAAUCUGAAAUUGACCUGGACAUCUGGAUUAGUGGCCUGCUGGGGACCACCUGUACCAGUACUGAUAACAGAAUGAUCCUAUCAGAGUGAGCUUUCCAGACAAAUGCUUCACAGGAGACCUUAAUAGUUCAUGAAAACAAAAGGAAGGCAAAUCUCCUUAUUGACCAAAAAUUACACUAACAAUUCAACAGACGAACUUCAACAGAUGAUGAGCAAAGUUGCUAAUUAAUAAACUGUGGAGUUUAAAAAAGAGAGGGGACUAUAAAUUAAACAUUGAGCUACAUUCCUGACUUUGUACAUGACCAUGAGAAUGUCAACUCUCAACUAUCCUCAGACUUUCAUCUAAACAAGAAGAAACACGUGAACUACAACGGUAAAUAUGAGGAACAAAGACUGGUGGAAGAGGAAGCAAAAAGACAAUGGAGGAAAUAUUUUAGGAAAUUAUGGUAUAAAAAGUAGAAAAGAGGAGAGGUAGAAAGGAAUUAUUCAAGAAAAUAUAAAAGGGAAAGAGUCAGUAUUAGACAUUCAGAUUCAACAGAUAUUUUUGAACCUCUGUGGGCUUGCCUGUGUGCUGGGCUCUGAACAAAAUGAAAAAGGCCUCUGCUUCCAAGGAACUUAUAUUGUAGUUGUUGUGUAUCAGUUAAGAUUAGGUGGUCUGUAUGAAAAAAAUGUGUGAAAAGAUUUUAAAAGUCAUAUUGUUUUUCUUUAACCCAAAAUAAAACUGAACUUAACCCAG